CAGCAGCCACGGGAAUACAGAGGGUGCAAGCGUUAAUCGGAUUUACUGGGCGUAAAGCGUGUGUAGGUGGCUGUUCAAGUCGGUUGUGAAAGCCCUGGGCUCAACCUGGGAAUUGCUUCCGAGACUGAGCGGCUAGAGUACGGUAGAGGGCGGUGGAAUUUCCGGUGUAGCGGUGAAAUGCGUAGAUAUCGGAAGGAACACCAAUGGCGAAGGCAGCCGCCUGGGCCUGUACUGACACUGAGACACGAAAGCGUGGGGAUCAAACAGGAUUAGAUACCCCUGUAGUCCCUGUCUCUUAUAC
This 301-nucleotide ribosomal RNA is filed under the name uncultured bacterium. RNAcentral describes it as "partial 16S ribosomal RNA". It matches the Rfam family "Bacterial small subunit ribosomal RNA", at positions 509 to 807 of the family's 1533-position model. The record is from RNAcentral.